Non-coding RNA from Pelodiscus sinensis (Chinese soft-shelled turtle), 350 nucleotides. The record is from RefSeq and is a predicted model, not a curated record. Lineage: Eukaryota; Metazoa; Chordata; Testudines; Trionychidae.
CGGGGACUUUCCCCCCCCCCCCCAGCCACACCGGCUUCUCCUCCAGCAUCGCCACGUUUACGGCCCGGAGCUCGUCAGCUAAUAACUAUGUCAAGAUCCCCAUUCUGGUGGUACCAGAAGACGCUGUGGUGACGGACGAGAAGCCGCCGGUUCACGGGCUGUUGGAGUUCUCCAUGCCCUGCGUGGGCACCAUCCAGCACGACCCCGACUGCGCCCGGCACGUCUGGUCGAUGAGAUUCUACGCGGUAGACGCGGAGAGUUCGGUGACCGUCCGGGUGAAGCCCAACCCAUCGGGGCUCACCUGCCGCCCGCAGGGAGCCAGCGCGGACAAGGGCCUCGUGUGCGACUAU